GAACUGCUCGGAAUCUCCUCCCAAGUGGAGGAGUGCAAGGACUCUGCAAGUAAAUGAUACAAAUAAGGCAACCAAACACUGCAUAUGACUAACCAUAGCAGCAGCAAGAGAGACCGUGACAAAAGAAUUUACCUAAUGGAUCUCCUGUCUGAACCAUGAAGCCCUUUAUAUUCCGGUGAAACACACAGCCGUUGUAGUAGUUACUAGCACAAAGAGCCAGGAAAUU
Molecule: non-coding RNA, 226 nt
Organism: Meleagris gallopavo (turkey)
Lineage: Eukaryota; Metazoa; Chordata; Aves; Galliformes; Phasianidae
Source: RefSeq, a predicted model, not a curated record